GAUGAAGAACGUAGCGAAAUGCGAUACGUAGUGUGAAUUGCAGAAUUCAGUGAAUCAUCGAAUCUUUGAACGCACAUUGCGCCCUUUGGUAUUCCUUAGGGCAUGCCUGUUCGAGCGUCAUUUAAACCUUCAAGCUAAGCUUGGUGUUGGGUGACUGUCCGCUUCACGGCGGACUCGCCUCAAAAUUAUUGGCGGCCGGUACAUUGGCUUCGAGCGCAGCAGAAACGCGAACUCGGGCCCGUCGUAUUGGCUCCCAGAAGCUAUCUUCACAAUUUUGACCUCGGAUCAGGUAGGGAUACCCGCUGAACUUAAGCAUAUCAAUAAGCGGAGGA
Molecule: unclassified non-coding RNA, 332 nt
Filed under: soil metagenome
Description: partial contains 5.8S ribosomal RNA, internal transcribed spacer 2, and large subunit ribosomal RNA
Rfam family: 5.8S ribosomal RNA (bases 1-120)
Source: RNAcentral